UGCCCCAUGGCUGAGUUGGUUACAGCGUCCGACUGUUAUGUCUUGACAUCGGAAGGUCGAGAGUUCGAGCCUCUCUGGGGCAG
RNAcentral lists this transfer RNA (83 nucleotides) under Armillaria fumosa. RNAcentral's name for it is "tRNA-Asn". It matches the Rfam family "tRNA". From Rfam's summary of the family: Transfer RNA (tRNA) molecules are approximately 80 nucleotides in length. Their secondary structure includes four short double-helical elements and three loops (D, anti-codon, and T loops). The record is from RNAcentral. RNAcentral also lists the same sequence under 1 other name. Lineage: Eukaryota; Fungi; Basidiomycota; Agaricomycetes; Agaricales; Physalacriaceae.